This 338-nucleotide unclassified non-coding RNA is filed under the name soil metagenome. RNAcentral describes it as "partial contains 5.8S ribosomal RNA, internal transcribed spacer 2, and large subunit ribosomal RNA". The stretch from base 3 to 119 matches the Rfam family "5.8S ribosomal RNA", at positions 38 to 154 of the family's 154-position model. The record is from RNAcentral.
GAGAAGAACGUAUCGAAAUGCGAUACGUAGUGUGAAUUGCAGAAUUCAGUGAAUCAUCGAAUCUUUGAACGCACAUUGCACCUCUCGGUAUUCCGGGAGGUAUGCCUGUUCGAGCGUCAUUUGUACCCUCAAGCUCUGCUUGGUGUUGGGUGUUUGUUCCGCCUCUGUGUGUGAACUCGCCUCAAAACAAUUGGCAGCCGGCGUACUUGUUUCGGAGCGCAGCACAUUUUGCGAUCCAGAUCAACGUACAGCGGCAUCCAAGAAGCCUUAUUUAACGCUCUUGACCUCGGAUCAGGUAGGGAUACCCGCUGAACUUAAGCAUAUCAAUAAGCGGAGGA